This is a long non-coding RNA of Rhincodon typus (whale shark), 442 nucleotides long. RefSeq lists it as uncharacterized. The record is from RefSeq and is a predicted model, not a curated record. The transcript has 3 exons. Lineage: Eukaryota; Metazoa; Chordata; Chondrichthyes; Orectolobiformes; Rhincodontidae.
CCGACUCUCUACCUCCUCUUGACAACUUAUGUUUCCACACCUCGAGUUGACAGCAGCAAAUUUAGCUGCCAUGUAUUUGGUUGCCUCAUUGUUGCUGUAAUAUUGGAACUAACUCCUCAAGACUAUCUCAAGAAUGAAGUCCAUCAGAAGGAGAAAGUAUACACCCAUGGACAAUAAAGAACUGGAACAAUCUUCCACAAACUUUAAUCUCCAUAUACCCUAAUUCAAGGAAAAUCGGUGUUUUACAGUGUUUAUUGUACACCUCCUGUGAAAAUUUCCGAGCGGAAGACUACAACAGAAAAACGUACCAAUUAGAAGUAUCACAGUCAGGCAAAAUCAACGCAGAAAGAAACAGGAUCAGUAUUUCAGGUUGUGGCUUUUAUCUGAUCUAGUCUACAUGAUAUGCUGUCAUAAGUUAAACUCGUCAGCCUUGUUGUUUUGC